CCUACGGGGGGCUGCAGUGGGGAAUAUUGGACAAUGGGGGCAACCCUGAUCCAGCCAUGCCGCGUGUGUGAAGAAGGCCCUCGGGUUGUAAAGCACUUUCAGUGAGGAAGAACGCCUGGUGGUUAAUACCCAUCAGGAAAGACAUCACUCACAGAAGAAGCACCGGCUAACUCCGUGCCAGCAGCCGCGGUAAUACGGAGGGUGCGAGCGUUAAUCGGAAUUACUGGGCGUAAAGCGCGCGUAGGUGGCUUGAUAAGCCGGUUGUGAAAGCCCCGGGCUCAACCUGGGAACGGCAUCCGGAACUGUCAAGCUAGAGUGCAGGAGAGGAAGGUAGAAUUCCCAGUGUAGCGGUGAAAUGCGUAGAGAUCGGGAGGAAUACCAGUGGCGAAGGCGGCCUUCUGGACUGACACUGACGCUGAGGUGCGAAAGCGUGGGGAGCAAACAGGAUUAGAUACCCCAGUAGUC
This 465-nucleotide ribosomal RNA is filed under the name Vreelandella stevensii. RNAcentral describes it as "partial 16S ribosomal RNA". It matches the Rfam family "Bacterial small subunit ribosomal RNA", at positions 338 to 795 of the family's 1533-position model. Lineage: Bacteria; Pseudomonadati; Pseudomonadota; Gammaproteobacteria; Oceanospirillales; Halomonadaceae. The record is from RNAcentral.